RNAcentral lists this ribosomal RNA (465 nucleotides) under Vreelandella stevensii. RNAcentral's name for it is "partial 16S ribosomal RNA". It matches the Rfam family "Bacterial small subunit ribosomal RNA", at positions 338 to 795 of the family's 1533-position model. The record is from RNAcentral. Lineage: Bacteria; Pseudomonadati; Pseudomonadota; Gammaproteobacteria; Oceanospirillales; Halomonadaceae.
CCUACGGGUGGCUGCAGUGGGGAAUAUUGGACAAUGGGGGCAACCCUGAUCCAGCCAUGCCGCGUGUGUGAAGAAGGCCCUCGGGUUGUAAAGCACUUUCAGUGAGGAAGAACGCCUGGUGGUUAAUACCCAUCAGGAAAGACAUCACUCACAGAAGAAGCACCGGCUAACUCCGUGCCAGCAGCCACGGUAAUACGGAGGGUGCGAGCGUUAAUCGGAAUUACUGGGCGUAAAGCGCGCGUAGGUGGCUUGAUAAGCCGGUUGUGAAAGCCCCGGGCUCAACCUGGGAACGGCAUCCGGAACUGUCAAGCUAGAGUGCAGGAGAGGAAGGUAGAAUUCCCGGUGUAGCGGUGAAAUGCGUAGAGAUCGGGAGGAAUACCAGUGGCGAAGGCGGCCUUCUGGACUGACACUGACACUGAGGUGCGAAAGCGUGGGUAGCAAACAGGAUUAGAUACCCCUGUAGUC